GCAAACUUGGUCAUUUAGAGGAAGUAAAAGUCGUAACAAGGUCUCCGUAGGUGAACCUGCGGAGGGAUCAUUACCGAGUGAGGGCCCCAGGCCCGACCUCCCCCCCACUGUGGACCACGACCCCGUGCCUCGGGGGCGACCCGCCCGCGCACCUCGCGCGGCGUCGGGGCCCCCGGCGGACCAUAAAACACAGACUCCGUGAUGUCGAGUCGGAAGGGAAAAUCGCGACGCAAAACUUACAACAAUGGAUCUCUUGGUUCUGGCAUCGAUGAAGAACGCAGC
RNAcentral lists this unclassified non-coding RNA (282 nucleotides) under uncultured fungus. RNAcentral describes it as "partial contains small subunit ribosomal RNA, internal transcribed spacer 1, and 5.8S ribosomal RNA". The stretch from base 1 to 73 matches the Rfam family "Eukaryotic small subunit ribosomal RNA", at positions 1759 to 1831 of the family's 1831-position model. Lineage: Eukaryota; Fungi. The record is from RNAcentral.